This 459-nucleotide ribosomal RNA is filed under the name uncultured bacterium. RNAcentral describes it as "partial 16S ribosomal RNA". It matches the Rfam family "Bacterial small subunit ribosomal RNA", at positions 339 to 795 of the family's 1533-position model. The record is from RNAcentral.
CUACGGGUCGCUGCAGUAAGGAAUAUUGGUCAAUGGACGAAAGUCUGAACCAGCCAUGCCGCGUGGAGGAUGAAGGUCCUCUGGAUUGUAAACUUCUUUUAUCUGGGAAGAAAUCCAUGGUUUCUACUAUGGUUGACGGUACCAGAUGAAUAAGCACCGGCUAACUCCGUGCCAGCAGCCGCGGUAAUACGGAGGGUGCAAGCGUUAUCCGGAUUCACUGGGUUUAAAGGGUGCGUAGGUGGGCAGGUAAGUCAGUGGUGAAAUCUCCGAGCUUAACUCGGAAACUGCCAUUGAUACUAUCUGUCUUGAAUACCCUGGAUGUGAGCGGAAUAUGUCAUGUAGCGGUGAAAUGCUUAGAUAUGACAUAGAACACCAAUUGCGAAGGCAGCUCACUACGGGAAUAUUGACACUGAGGCACGAAAGCGUGGGGAUCAAACAGGAUUAGAUACCCUAGUAGUC